UACGUAGGGGGCAAGCGUUGUCCGGAUUCAUUGGGCGUAAAGAGCGUGUAGGCGGCCAGGUAGGUCGGUUGUGAAAACUGGAGGCUCAACCUUCAGAGGUCAUUCGAAACCAUCUGGCUAGAGUCCGGGAGAGGAGAGUGGAAUUCCUGGUGUAGCGGUGAAAUGCGCAGAUAUCAGGAAGAACACCCGUGGCGAAAGCGGCUCUCUGGAACGGUACUGACGCUGAGACGCGAAAGCGUGGGGAGCGAACAGG
This 253-nucleotide ribosomal RNA is filed under the name uncultured bacterium. RNAcentral's name for it is "partial 16S ribosomal RNA". It matches the Rfam family "Bacterial small subunit ribosomal RNA", at positions 524 to 776 of the family's 1533-position model. The record is from RNAcentral.